RNAcentral lists this ribosomal RNA (264 nucleotides) under uncultured archaeon. RNAcentral describes it as "partial 16S ribosomal RNA". It matches the Rfam family "Archaeal small subunit ribosomal RNA", at positions 717 to 982 of the family's 1478-position model. The record is from RNAcentral.
ACACGACUACAUUAGAUACCCGCGUAGUCCAGGGUGUAAACGCUGCAGACUUGGUGUUGGAAGCCCUUUGGGGGCAUUCAGUGCCGGAGAGAAGUUGUUAAGUCUGCUACUUGGGGAGUACGUCCGCAAGGAUGAAACUUAAAGGAAUUGGCGGGGGAGCACCGCAACGGGAGGAGCGUGCGGUUUAAUUGGAUUCAACACCGUAAACUCACCAGGGAAGACUGUUACAUGAAGGCCGAGAUGAAGACUCUGCUAGAUUUUCAG